Molecule: ribosomal RNA, 1409 nt
Filed under: uncultured Flavobacterium sp.
Lineage: Bacteria; Pseudomonadati; Bacteroidota; Flavobacteriia; Flavobacteriales; Flavobacteriaceae
Description: bacterial SSU rRNA
Rfam family: Bacterial small subunit ribosomal RNA
Source: RNAcentral
GGCAUGAUACACGCGGUAGAGGGGUAGAGGCUUUCGGGUCCUUGGAUACUCGUUGUCACGGGUGCGUAACGCGUAUGCAAUCUGCCUUUCACAGCAGGAAUAGCCCAGAUAAAUUUGUGAUUAAUACCUCAUAGUCAUAGACCUAACGCGCAUGGGGCUGAUUAUUAAAGUCACAACGGUGUCAAGGAUGAGCAUGCGUCCCAUUAUCGAGUUGGUAAGGUAACGGCUUACCAAGGCGACUAUGGGUAGGGGUCCUGAGAGGGUGCAUCCCCCACACUGGUACUGAGACACGGACCAGACUCCUACAGGAGGCAGCAGUGAGGAAUAUUGGUCAAUGGGCGCAAGCCUGAACCAGCCAUGCCGCGUGCACGAUGACGGUCCUAUGGAUUGUAAACUGCUUUUGCACAGGAAGAAACACUCAGACGUGUAGGAGCUUGACUGUACUGUGAGAAUAAGGAUCGGCUAACUCCGUGCCAGCAGCCGCGGUAAUACGGAGGAUCCAAGCGUUAUCCGGAAUCAUUGGGUUUAAAGGGUCCGUAGGCGGUCUUGUAAGUCAGUGGUGAAAGCCCAUCGCUCAACGGUGGAACGGCCAUUGAUACUGCAGGACUUGAAUUAUUGGGAAGUACUAGAAUAUGUAGUGUAGCGGUGAAAUGCUUAGAGAUUACAUGGAAUACCAAUUGCGAAGGCAGGUUACUACCAAUUAUUGACGCUGAUGGACGAAAGCGUGGGUAGCGAACAGGAUUAGAUACCCUGGUAGUCCACGCCGUAAACGAUGGAUCUAGCUGUUGGAAGCAAUUCAGUGGCUAAGCGAAAGUGAUAAGUAUCCCACUGGGGAGUCGUACGCAAGUUUGAAACUCAAAGGAAUUGACGGGGGCCCGCACAAGGGGUGGAGCAUGUGGUUUAAUUCGAUGAUACGCGAGGAACCUUACCAAGGCUUAAAUGCAGACUGACCGAUUUGGAAACAGAUCUUUCGCAAGACAGUUUACAAGGUGCUGCAUGGUUGUCGUCAGCUCGUGCCGUGAGGUGUCAGGUUAAGUCCUAUAACGAGCGCAUACCCCUGUUGUUAGUUGUCCAGCGAGUCAAGUCGGGAACUCUAACAAGACUGCCAGUGCAAACUGUGAGGAAGGUGGGGAUGACGUCAAAUCCUCACGGCCCUUACGCCUUGGGCUACACACGUGCUGCAAUGGCCGGUACAGAGAGCAGCCAGUGGGCGACCAGGAGCGAAUCUAUAAAGCCGGUCACAUUUCGGAUUCGGAGUUCUGCUACUCGACUGCCGUGAAGCUGGAAUCGUCUAGUAAUCGGAUAUCAGCCAUGAUUCCGGUGAAUACGUUCCGGGACCUUGUACGGAUCGCCCGUCAAGCCAUAAAAACUGGGGGUACGUGUAAGUCGGUUACCGCAAGGAGCUGCCU